This 974-nucleotide unclassified non-coding RNA is filed under the name Duncanopsammia axifuga. Its description in RNAcentral is "sequence contains ITS1, 5.8S rRNA gene and ITS2". The stretch from base 722 to 974 matches the Rfam family "Eukaryotic large subunit ribosomal RNA", at positions 1 to 249 of the family's 3401-position model. Lineage: Eukaryota; Metazoa; Cnidaria; Anthozoa; Scleractinia; Dendrophylliidae. The record is from RNAcentral.
AUGGUUUAGUGAGGCCUUCUGACUGGCGCCGAUACUCUGGCAACAGAGCGCCGGAUGCCGGGAAGUUGGUCAAACUUGAUCAUUUAGAGGAAGUAAAAGUCGUAACAAGGUUUCCGUAGGUGAACCUGCGGAAGGAUCAUUACCGAUUUCCAAACGUGGUCGUCACGAACCCGUGUGAACCCGUCGCAACCAUCUUUAGGGGUCGGCCCGGGUGCCGUUAAAUGGUCGGGCGUCCGUCGAUUCGGCGUGCGGCCAGCCCCGCCUUCGUCACGUUUGACGCACUUGAACGUACCGAUCUGAAACGUUUCCCUGCCUGCUGCCAGCAGGUUGAAGAGGAAAGAAAAAAAAAAAAAGAGAGAGAGACAACUUUUAACGGUGGAUCUCUUGGCUCACGUAUCGAUGAAGAACGCAGCCAGCUGCGAUAAGUAGUGUGAAUUGCAGAAUUCAGUGAAUCAUCGAAUCUUUGAACGCAAAUGGCGCUCUUGGGUUCUCCCAGGAGCAUGUCUGUCUGAGUGUCGGAUAACAUGGAACGCASCCCGAGGGCGUGCGGAAUUGGGGCGUCACGGCCCGACCGUGUCCCCCGAAGGAGAGCGUGCUGGAAUCGCUCGGCGACCCACCUCCGUGCGAAGGCUAAAAGGAAGCUAUAUCUUGAAGUCCUUCGCCGAGGUGCGGCUUCGCCGUGGCGGAUCGGCCGAAGGAAAGGUGAGACUACUCUUGAUCUUGACCUCAGAUCAGGCAAGGCUACCCGCUGAAUUUAAGCAUAUUAAUAAGCGGAGGAAAAGAAACUAACAAGGAUUCCCCCAGUAACGGCGAGUGAAGCGGGACGAGCUCAAAUUUGAAAUCUCCGACGCUUGCGUCGGCGAGUUGUAGUUGCGAGAAGCACUUUCUCGGCGGAUCGGGCGUGCCUAAGUUGCUUGGAACGGUACGUCGCAGAGGGUGACAACCCCGUCUGUGGCACGGCCGGCCGCUCACGA